Oleiphilus sp. HI0009 is the source of this 179-nucleotide non-coding RNA. The record is from Rfam. Lineage: Bacteria; Pseudomonadati; Pseudomonadota; Gammaproteobacteria; Oceanospirillales; Oleiphilaceae.
UGUGUUCUGGAAUGUUUGCCAGCUAGAUAAGUCCUCGAGCCGAUACUUAGUACCAGGCAAGUAUGUUGUAUGAUGUGUGCAGGUCCCCAUCGACGGGAAAGCCUAAUUCAUAUCAUGUGCUAGCCACCUUGAACCUUUUCGGUUCAAGGUCCUAUCAGGCAGCGGCAUUUCGGGCACAC